RNAcentral lists this long non-coding RNA (1471 nucleotides) under Homo sapiens (human). RNAcentral's name for it is "HSALNT0393726". The record is from RNAcentral. Lineage: Eukaryota; Metazoa; Chordata; Mammalia; Primates; Hominidae.
ACACAUCUAACCACUCUUCAGCUGAUAUCCACUUGCUGACAAAUGAAUCUCUCUGGCCCCUGGACUGUGCCCUGAAACACAGCUUAAAACAGCAGAAUGAACAGUAAUCCCAGAGAUCCUGAGAUGAGAAAAGGGUGUUUGACUUAUUCAAAGAAGACCAAGGAAGCCCAAAGACCAGAGAAGAGUGCAGGAAAGGGGCGGCGGUCUGAGAUGCAGUCAGAGCAGUGGCAAGCCCCCAGAGUCUGUGGCAAAGACUUCAGGUUUCAUCCUGAAGAGGAAGACAGGUCUUUGGAGAGUUUUGAUCAAGGAAGUGAGAUGAAAUAUCUUAGGCUUACAAAGAACUACUCUGACAUCUAAAUGGAAAAUGGACUGAUGAAGCAAAAGAAGCCACAAGGAAGCCAGUUCAGAGGCUAUUGAAAUGCUCCAGAUACUCAGAGAGUGAGAGCCUUCAGAUUUGGGUGAGUGAUGCCAUUAGAACCAAGAUUUCUUCCAUUCUUCUGCUCUAUCAUUCUCAGCACAACAUGCUUUUCUCAUUAAGAUUUUCAAAAAUGCUUGUUGAUAAAAUGAAGUCAGAAUGUGAGAUGAGCCCUUCCACCUGAGUGAUGUUGGUCUUGGCUGUGUGAUUUGCUUUGGCUGAUGAUAAGUUGAUGGAAGUGAUAGUAAGACAAUGCUGAGCCUCAUCCUCGGAAGUAUCUCUGCCUUCACCUGGCUUUGUGCACCACUGCCCUGGCUUUGAGAAGAACAUGAGCCCAGUAAAUUGUUAGUCCAGGAAGAAUGAGAGAGAAAGUCCUGAGGCAGAGAAGUGGAGAGAAGUUGCUGCUUGAGCUUGAGAAAGAAUGGUGGCAGAGUACAUGCAUGGAAGUGCUACCAUAGCUGCUCUGAAAUCAGAGGAAAGUGGAAUUAUAAGAAGACCCCAUCUGACAAGGCUCAUAAAGGAGAGCAACUCUUAUGGAAUACAUCCAAGAUAUAUACGUCUUUGAAGAAAGACAUCACUCAACUGUGAAAGAUCACCAUGACCCCUGCUUUAAUUUCAUCAAAAAACUUAGUCCAUCAGCUCAGUUACCCUUUAGCCUUGCAUGGGAAUUGACUCAGAGCUUCUGCAAGAUCAGGCCCUAUAUUAGGUAUUGAGGGUUCAGGGAUGAACUAAGCUGAUCUGGUUCCUGCUCUCUAGGCUGUAGAAGAUGGCAAGUGCUGUGGACUUCAAAGAAAAGAUUUCUGAAGUGUCAUGUUAUGACAAUUGUGAUGCUUCAAACUAUGUUGACUAUUCAUUUACAGCAUAAAGAAGAGUGAGCCACUUUAUCACUGCAGUAAUUAUAUUUUAAAAAUAAAGAAAAUAAAACAAAUGGAGUUUCCCACCCAAUCCAUGGAGACACAGACACGAAGUCUUACUAUAGAUGUGUGGCCAAUCCUUACAUUGCUUUUAUUACAAGCCUGGAAAUGACAAUAAAAUACAUGAACUUGAGAGUAUAUA